UGUUCUUUUAGCUCCAUCAUCUCUCCUCACUCGGAGCCGUCGACGUCCUCGGCCCUGUCGUCUUUCACCCCAAACCUAAUCUCUGGAUGUCGCCGCUGGCGAUAAUCUCAAGAGGGCAUAUUUUGGUAAACUAUCCUCCUACUACUAUUCACGGCCACAUCAGCAUCAGGGUCAUCACGUCGGAGUGCACCCCUCGGUCAAUGUCGAUUCCGCAAAGGUCAGAUGGUGCAGAUCGAGUAUCAUGCCAUCCCGUAUGAGUCGGGACAGCGUCGACCGAGUACAACGUCGUCCCAUAAAGAUCAGAUUGGCGCCAACCAGUAUAGCAUCGUUCCGCGAAGGUCGGGACGAUGUCGAUCGAGUACAACGUCGUUCUACGAAGGUCGGGACGAUGCCAACCAAGUACGACGUCGACAAUCAUAAAUAUGACAGGUACGGUUGGUCCCUCGGGGGAAGGAUAAAAACCCCUCGUGGGGGCAACAACAGAGGUGGUUGAUUUUUCACUCAAUUCUAACAAGAUCUUCGGAGGGGUCGAAAUCAGGAGCCCCCUUCCCGACCCCGACCUGUGUGCAGGGUCCGUUGGCAGAAAGGAGGCAGUCAGUCAAAGGGAGUUUCCCGACUUCGGAGCCCAAUCCCGACCUCACCAAAGCACGAUCGUCGUCAACUGAAUGUCGACGUGGACGAUCCUACGCAUUCGAGACCGAACCAAGCCAUGUUGACUCCAUUUGCCACGGUGUGAAGGAUCCUUAUCAGAUACUAAACUACCUAUAAGUCCCUAUAGAAAACUCUGAUUUGUUCAAAACUUAUUUCAUUAGAAACCAGACUCAUAGAUUCUUUUUUUGAUACCUAGAUCGAAAGAUUUGGAGUCCAAAUAUCUACCCAGUUUUUUAUUGAAAUCGACCCUAUGAAUUCUACGAAAUAGAGAUUUUGAUCUCUGAUAUUUAGUUAUCGAAUUAUUUGUAACUUUCUGUUGGAAACUUUGAUUUAUAUUAAACUUAUUUUAUCUGAAAGUAGAUUGAAAUAUUUUUAUAAUAUAUUUUCGAGUAAAUUAGAGCAUAAUUGAUUAUUUAAAUAAUUCAUUGUGCCUCUCAAAUUUUGUCAGAAAUCAAACUUUGAUCGAUUUCAUUUAUUUUUAUUUUAUUUCCUUUGGAAAUUGAUUUAUCUAACAUUCUUUCUUCAAAUUAGCUUUAUAUUACUGCUUUAAAUUCUUGAAUGCUUUUGUUUUGUAUGGGCACAUAUAUGUUCCGUUGUUUCGCAUGUGCUUUCGAUGUGUUAAAAUUCUUAUAUACUCGUCUUUUUAUUUUCUUUUAAAUUUGAAUGCAUUUAUGAAAAGCACAUGUACGUUUUGUUGUUCUGCAUGUGCUUCUGAUAUGUGUCAAUUUGUACUCUGGUGUUUGUGGGAGUAUUUGGACCUUUGCUAGAAAUGGAAAAAAGAUUAUGCUUAGAGCCCACGAUGCUUUGCCAGCCUCUUUGACUUCACCUAGAUGUGGGUGGAUGGGGCUCCUACACGUGGGAGAUUUUUGUUUGGUGGUCAUCUAGAAAUGGAUGAAUCAUAUUUUGUCUGUAAUCUCAUUACACCUAUAUGUUUGAAUGCAACGUCAAAUAUGACGUUUGAACUUUUAUUUCGUAUUUGUUCUUUGAUAUGCUUCCAAAUAGUUCAUAUGUCGUUGAUAUGUUCUGAAAUAUUUUAUAUUCUA
Molecule: long non-coding RNA, 1694 nt
Organism: Musa acuminata AAA Group (dessert banana)
Lineage: Eukaryota; Viridiplantae; Streptophyta; Magnoliopsida; Zingiberales; Musaceae
Exons: 2
Source: RefSeq, a predicted model, not a curated record